RNAcentral lists this ribosomal RNA (459 nucleotides) under uncultured bacterium. RNAcentral describes it as "partial 16S ribosomal RNA". It matches the Rfam family "Bacterial small subunit ribosomal RNA", at positions 28 to 523 of the family's 1533-position model. The record is from RNAcentral.
GAUGAACGCUGGCGGCGUGCCUAAUACAUGCAAGUCGAGCGGUAAGGCCUCUUCGGAGGUACACGAGCGGCGGACGGCUGAGUAACGCGUAGGAACAUACCCCAAAGUGAGGGAUAACUGCUCGAAAGAGUAGCUAAUACCGCAUGUGAUCUAAGGAUUAAAGCUUCGGCGCUUUGGGAAUGGCCUGCGUAUGAUUAGUUUGUUGGUGAGGUAAUGGCUCACCAAGACUACGAUCAUUAGCUGGUCUGAGAGGAUGAUCAGCCAGACUGGGACUGAGACACGGCCCAGACUCCUACGGGAGGCAGCAGUAGGGAAUCUUCCACAAUGGGCGAAAGCCUGAUGGAGCAACGCCGCGUGCAGGAUGAAGGCCUUCGGGUUGUAAACUGCUUUUAUAUGCGAAGAUUAUGACGGUAGCAUAUGAAUAAGGAUCGGCUAACUCCGUGCCAGCCGCCGCAGUAA